Cygnus atratus (black swan) is the source of this 2344-nucleotide long non-coding RNA. RefSeq lists it as uncharacterized. The record is from RefSeq and is a predicted model, not a curated record. Lineage: Eukaryota; Metazoa; Chordata; Aves; Anseriformes; Anatidae. The transcript is spliced from 4 exons.
GAGGGAUGGAGCCGCGGAUCGGAGUGCGCCGGGAGCGCGCAGAGCGGCGCGGGGGGAGCGCGGCACCCGCCCGGCCCUGCCCGCGCAAGCCCCGCGCAAACCCCGCGCAAGCCCCGCGCAGCGCAGCGCGCCCCCGGCUGCGGGCGACCGAGUGUGAAGGUCCAUCUGUGUUUUCCACUGCAAGUUAUGAAACCAGUACUUUCCUUCUCCUGGAGAGGGUGAUUUUGUUUAAGAUCUUCAAAGGGGAGUGAGCCACAAGGCUAUCUGUAGGCUUGCAGUUCUACCGACUCAUGAGGAAUUCAGCAGGGGAAGACGAGGCACGUGCUUGAUGGUGUGUCAGUCCCGGCGUGAUGGAGAGCUUCCCAUGGGAUCACACCAGAGCUGAUGUUAGUGAGCACGGCUGCACUUGGGGACCAGCUUCGUGGGGGAGCAGAGGAAAGGUUGUUCCCUCCUGCACUGCACAGCAGCCCCAACCUAAGAUUUCUUGUUGACAUGAAUAGUCUUUGUCUUUUGUUUUCCCACAUUGCUGGAGGAUGGUAGCAAAAACAUUAAUGGAUUUGGACCAGCAACAUCACUUAGAGUCUGGGAAAGGAGGAAGAAUGUCUCAUCCUUCACUACUGAAGCCUAAUACUAACUCACUAGCCCAUCCAUGGCACCAAUGUUACUGCCAGCACAUGCAGAGUUUCCAGAGGCAAAUGAGCCACUAAAGGGUACAAAGUCUUUCCCAAUACGGUUUAACACUUGAGCAACACAGACCAAAAAAGAAAUCAACUCAUGCAUAUUACCAUAUCAGAUUAGAACAAAGGACGUGAAUUCUUCAGUGAAUAAGAAACCAGAAGAAAGAUCAUGGCGGUCAGAUAAGAAGUUGGAAAUGUUGUGAGCCUUCAAAUAAAGAGGUUAAACAUACAAUUAAAACCACAAAGCAAAAUAAUAAUAACUGUUGUAAGUUGCAUGGAUAAUCAAUACUGAAAUGUGAUGCCUUUUAAUCAGGGGGUCUUUUAAACAGCUUGAGGGGAGGCAAGGUUGGAGGGGAUAAGUAUUUAAUUGCAAGAGCAAAUUUGCUACUUGGGAAGUUGGAAUCCAUGUCUGGUAGCAAGCUCCCCCCAAAAAACGUGGGUUGCAGUGAGGAUGGUGUUAAGCAACAGCAUUCAUAGCACUUAGAUUGCCAGCGAGAUAAAAGGCCUUAUUUAUUAAAGAUAAUUCUUCUGGAUUAAUCUCUUUUCUGUUCUCAAAGCACAAUGAGGACAUUGAAGUGCCCUGUCCAGAUGAUUCUCUCCAGAUCUAUGAUACAGCAAUUGUGAAUGAAAGCUCCCUGACCACAACCUCUGGACAAAACCAACACUACCCUAGAGCUAGUAAGCUGGAAAGGCAGCUAUUUCCCAGAACCUCAAUAGUUCCCCCCCAAAAAAGCGUCUGAGCAAACUGUUCUUUUACAUUAAAUUGUCCUAAGCCAACGUGAAGUGGGUUAUUGUCUUACUAGAAUACGUGUUGUUUUUUUUUAAACUGAAGACCUUUUGACAACUCCAAAUUGCCUCCCACAGCCCCAGUGCAUCCUCUGCAGCCCGCAGGAUGCCUCGUGACCCAUUAGGCUGCAGCUUUCCUUCACUCUCCGACUUCUCCUGCAUGCUGCUGGAUCCCAGUUCCAGUUGGCACGUGGUGGCUCUCUGUUGAUGAAUGAGCGCCAUGGAGCAGAUGGGAUGGAAACAGAGCUGUUCUUGCCAUUCAGUCAGCUCCUAAUGAGCAGUGCUUUGGCACCAAUGUGCUGAGACGUGCCCACUUCUUAAGAGCUGUUUUUUCAUUUACGUGACCCCAUGUGACAGCUCCCUCUCAUGAGAUUUCCUCGGACUUGAUUUAUGAAAUCUGACUUCCAGCUGUACGCUACUUGGGGCACAGACCGGUAUGAUGCUCCUUGUGAGGUUCCCAGCUCGCAGUACACCGCAGACACAACAACAGUUUUAAAAAGUCAGCCAGCGGCCCCAAAAAGAUUUGUCAAAGCUAGGGGAGGGAGGGCCAUCUUUUGCAGGUGAGGGGAAGCGAAGCAAUGCAGGAGCUGUGCUGUAGGAAAAUCUUCAGCUAAACUGUUUUCUUCCUUAUACGAUUGCCAAUGCUGAGCCUAUUCAAGGAAGUCUUUGGGAAAAUACCUAAGAGGAUUUUUCCUUUCAGAUUAAGUGAUUUCUAGAUGAUUUUACCCAUAGCAUAUCAGCAGGGGGGUGAGUUCAGCUGCGCUUUGCCUACACCAGAGAAAGAGAGGCUCACUCUUCUGAAAGUCAUCCACUAAAUUAAUGAAGACAAGAAUGUACAUUAGGCUGAACCUAUUUAGCUUAUUAAAGGCUCCUCUCUCAGA